RNAcentral lists this ribosomal RNA (179 nucleotides) under Desulfitobacterium hafniense. RNAcentral describes it as "partial 16S ribosomal RNA gene". The record is from RNAcentral. Lineage: Bacteria; Bacillati; Bacillota; Clostridia; Eubacteriales; Desulfitobacteriaceae.
ACGUUAAAGUAUCACCUCAAGCACAUUUUCAGUUAUAGGUAAAAGUGCAAGAGGGAGAAAAAGGUGACAGCAAGAUAAGGCUGAAGCAAGAAGCAAAUGUGCUUCACGCUCAUAUAGCUUGCCAACACACUCAUAGAAAUUAGAAGAUUUUAGUGUUUGGUGAAGUAACUUACUUAGUG